CUUCUUUAUAUCCAUAAAAACUCAGUUUAGCUGGUGCGCUUCCGUCAAUAAUCCACUCGGUUUCCCCCCUUCAAAAUGCAUACAAAAUUAAUCCCAAACGUUACCAAUAAACUUAUGCAAACAAGUCAAUCAACGUUUAUAAUCAAACUUUAGGUACCCGAAUACGCAAAUAAACGAUCAAAUUUAAGACGGAGAAUCGUUAUUGUCUUUAGCGGAGAAAAAUACCAAAGAAUGCGCUCUCAUUUACUUGCUUGGGAACACUACAGACAAAAUGGGAGCCACCCAGAAAAACUACAAUUUCUGGCUCAUUUUUCCAAAAACCAGCCUGAAACUCUUUCUAAAGACUGUUGACAUCUAGUGGAAGCCCUAGGAACUGCAAUCAGGCACGAUUUCUCCCUAUUAGAAAAGUGCCAGCCAUUGAAAUCAGUGGUAGGAUGAAAAUGUUUUUUGGGGGGGUUGGUUUGUCCUUCGGGGUUUCACCUGUCAUUUCAGUUCUGUUAUACUCACAGACAUUAUUUUAACAGUUUUAGAAACUUUAGAGUGUUUUCUAUCCAAAUCUACCAAUUACAUGCAUACCCUAGCUUCUGAGUCUGAGUAGCAGGCAGUUUACUUUGGGCACGCUUUUCAUCCGGGUUAACUGUGGGUUAACUGCCUUGUUCAAGGGCAAAAUUACAGAUUUUUACCUAGUCAGCUUGGGGUUUCGAUCUUGCAACCUUUUGGUUACUGGCCCAACACUCUAACCACUAGGCUACCCAGCCACACCCAUGAAUGAAAUGAGUGAAAUGCAAAUAUUUGUGCCACGGGCAGGGGAAAUGGGACACCGGAGCUCAACCCGCUUGAUGAGCGACUUGCUGGUAUUAUAGGGGAAUCCCUCCUGAGUAGAGUAGUGACGGAGGUGGAAGGGGACAGGGACAUGCAAGACGCACCGGAUGAUCCAGCUGAGCAAGAGCUGACUGCGCCCAGCCCCGGCAUCUCCACUGCACCACAUGCGUCACAACCCUCCGGAAGCCGUGUCCUCAUAGAUAAGCCGUGUCCUCAUUGAUGUUGUCCUGCAAACGCAAAGAGACACCAUCAAUGCUAUUAACGAGGUUGCCAAGGAGUUGAAGUGGAACAGGCACGGCUUGGCUUUUGCGGGUGCUUCUCUGUAAAGCUGGGCCCACUACAGCACAGAAAUCUAAGAAAACAGCUCUUGGUAAUCGGACCGGCUCAUAAGCCACUCAUCAUCGUUGGCAAGUAAAUCUUGCUGGUCUCUGAAAAAUUUGCUCUCUCCGCAGAAUUCUUCCAUUUGCCAAAUCUUCCAACAGUGCCAAAGCAGCCGUUGUGCGUCAUUACACGUUGUAAUUGCAUCCCAUUUUAUACCCACCUUCAGGUGCUUAACACCUUCAGGUGUUGUAAUUACCCUGAUUGUAACUGGCAAUGACAGGGCCAUUAUCACAUUACAGUUCAGCGCAACGAACAUGUGAUAACAAUAUAUGAAACUGUGCACUCGUAUCUGCCCAACUGAGGCAUCGAAAACGGCAUCAGUUUAAACUAAUUUGUCCUACAGUUGACCUUAUUUAAGAGAAUGCAUUUCAUUACAUGCAAGUAUUGUUUAAUAAUUACAAAUCCAAUUAAAUAUGAUUCAGAUUAAACUGUACAACAUAUUUGAGGGGGUUAUUAGCAAAAACAGAUAUCUCCGUUUGUAUUUAUUAUCCUAAAUCAUGUUUUUAAUGUUUUUUUUUUGUGUGCACUCCAUGGAACUCCUCAUAUAUAAUACGUGAGGUAAUAUUUCAAUUUAUUUUACACAAUGGUAUCAAUUUCAAAGCGUUUCUCGAGUUUCAUCCUUCUGUUUCAUCCCUCUGCCAUCUGAGUUGCAGUUUCUCAUUUCUCAAGUUAAUGUGCAUUCCUAUGGGUCAAAGUGUCUGUGGAGGACCGCACAUUCUCCCGUCAAGUUAGUUUUUUAUAAAUCCCAAAAUUUGCUUAGAAGGUGGCAUACGCCUUUUGUGCCUACGCAACAUUUAUAACUGAGGCCCCAGGACACCAUAUAUUAUAGUCUCUAAACGGAAAAAUAUUACCACUGUCUCUUGCGCAUGUCAUUUUCCAUAUGGAUCCAAAACCAAUUACUAUGAGAAUAAAGAUCACUGAAAGACAAACAUUGAAACAAAGUAGGCUAAUGAAGGUAAACAAAUUGUUGCUUACUGGAAAAUACUCUUUCAAAAGUAAUGGAAGAGGCAAGUGGAAGGGGGAAAAGACACCAUUCAGAGGUCAAGACAGAGCUGCUCUGAGACAAGCAUGGGGACUGGUCUUGAUAAAUCAAUGACAUUUUUAUUUUCAGUUUGGGUAUUAGAUAUUAGGUAUUAGUUAGACUACAAUUAUGGUGUGGAAAUGUAUUUCUUAGUUAGAUUGGCUGUAUCACAACCGGCCGUGAUUGGGAGUCCCAUACUGCGGCACACAAUUGGCCCAGUGUCGCUCAAGUUUCGCCGGUGUAGGCCAUCACUGUAAAUAAGACUUUGAUCUUAGCUGACUUGCCUAGUUAAAUAAAAGGUCAUGUUGUACAGCACCAUAUUUUCCUAAUGGAAACCCUGAGGGUUUUGUUUUUCUUGCAAUAGAAACACAAUAAUAUGAAUCAAAUGAAUGAAGUUACAUUUCUUAAAAUCAAUCCCAUCAAUCCCAAUCCCAUAUACUCUGUUCUUACAAAAAAAGGUUUUAAAUUCUCUAGUAAAGCCAAUAACUUUAGGUUAUUUGCAAACAAAAUAAUCUCCAAAAUAUCGUUAAUGUUUUCAAACACUUGUUUUUCACAAGGGCUAUUAGCAGGACAAUAGACACGAUGUGGUCCCAAAAACACCUCUGACAAAGGGUCCAGCAUGUCUCUGGAUGAUGAUCGAGCUCGGUCCGACACGGGCUGCUUUAUGUAUUAUUAACAUUUCUUUUUUUUCUUUUUUUCUUCUUCAUAUUUUGAUAUUGUGUAGCCUACAGUGAUGCCUCUAGCAUAUGUCAGUGCAAGAGGCAUCACUACAGUCCCUAGUUCGAAUCCAGGCCGUGAUAGUUCACAUCCGGCCGUGAUAGGGAGUCCCAUAGGCCGGUGCACAAUUGGCCCAGCGUCGUUUUGCCGGUGUAGGCCGUCAUUGUAAAUAAUAAUUUGUUCUUAACUGACUU
Molecule: long non-coding RNA, 3135 nt
Organism: Oncorhynchus tshawytscha (Chinook salmon)
Lineage: Eukaryota; Metazoa; Chordata; Actinopteri; Salmoniformes; Salmonidae
Source: Ensembl